This 329-nucleotide unclassified non-coding RNA is filed under the name Pseudidiomarina planktonica. RNAcentral describes it as "Idiomarina planktonica Long range pseudoknot". Lineage: Bacteria; Pseudomonadati; Pseudomonadota; Gammaproteobacteria; Alteromonadales; Idiomarinaceae. The record is from RNAcentral.
ACAGAUGAGGGCGAUUAUCAGGUAAAACUGCGCAACCUGACUCGCUUCCUCGAGGGAGGUGACAAAACUAAAGUCACCGUUCGUUUCCGUGGCCGGGAAAUGGCGCAUCAGGAAAUUGGAAUUGAAUUGCUAAAUCGCAUUAAAAAGGAUUUAGAAGAAAUUUCAGUACUUGAAUCGUUCCCAAGACGUGCUGAGGGUCGCCAGAUGAUUAUGGUGCUGGCCCCUGCUAAGAAGUGAUUGUGGUCUACAAGUAGGCAAGCGUAAGCGAACCUCACCCUGUCACACUUUUAUUAACAAUGCGGAGUCAUAUUUUCAUGCCGAAAAUUAAA